GUACUGGAGCCAACUGUCCUCUGUGACUCAGUGACCUGUGUGAGUGAAACCUGUAACUACAACCUGAGCUGCACUGCCAGGGAUGGAGGGGACAAUGUGACCUACAGCUGGACUCACACAGCAGGGGGCGCUGUUGUACCCAAUGUGUCCAUUCUGCACAUCUCUCAGAGCCCCCGUGAUGCUCACCUGGCCGUCACCUGCACAGCCCAGAACCCCGCCAGUAACAGCUCCACAACGGCCUCCGCAAAGAACCUUUGUGCAGCUCCCACAGCCGCUCCGGCCUCCUCACUGUCCUACUGCCGCGUCAAGGGGAUCGUCCUGCUGCUGGUGCUGGGAGCCCUGAGCGCCGGGAUCAUCGCGGUGCACGUCCUCCCCGGCAGGGAGCGGAGACGGGCCUGAGAGCAGAGGAGCUCCCACUGCGGCUGCCAAUCCCGCCUGCGCGUUCCCCAGCCCGCCAGCCCGAGGGUGCUCCGGGGGGACGCUCGCUUGCAGCUUCCGAAGGGUGAAUGUCACUGAGUGGGAGGAGGGGAAGUAUUGGGUCCCUCUGUGUGGCGGGAGAUGUGGUGGAGAAUCGGCCCUGCUCAGAGGCGCCCUCUGGCAGCCGCCGGCAGCACAACAGGUGCGCCUGCCUCGGUUUCCUCCCAUCGACCUUCUGAAAAGACCCCAGUGUCUAAUCGUUCCCCUACCUGGGGCUGAUUUAUUGUCCCAGAGUGUAAACAGCCCCUAGGCGCCCAGCCCACAGCUCACGCAAAUCCCCCGACCCAGAGCUCACUGCUCAGUCCCCACGGCUGCUCCAACGCCUGGUUCUUUCCAGGCUUCCCAGACCUUUCCCAGGGACGCCCUGCCGUGCCUGCUCCCCACGAGGCUCUCCCCUCCUCCAUGGCACCCGGCUCUCUGGGGACAGGAGCUCACUUCCAGCUGCACCUGGUUAAUGCCCAAGGCAAGCCGGCCCCGGCCUCUGGCCGUUAAAGGGGCAGAACACCCUGUCACGGAGGCACUUUCCCCCCACUGUGCUCUGGGGCCGAUGACUGUGCGGGGCAGGGCGAUGGAGAGCCAGGACCAAGGAGUUUGGCCAGGAAGAAACUCAGCUGCCUUGUGAACCCAGGACUGGCCAUAAAAACAGGGGACUCCGGCCUGGUCUAGACCCAGCUGCUGCACCAGAAUCACUCUACAGGUCAGUGGGGGAUUUUCUACUGGUACAAUGAAAGCGCUGCCUCCGUUUCUGGGGAUGCCCUUGUCUCAGUGGAAAGGGGCUUCUCUGGGUGCAGCCCCUGAACCUCUUUAACUGUCUCCGUUUCUAAACCAAGCCCUUGUGGAGACAAGCCCUUAGGAAUUACCACAUGGGAUCAGAAUCCCGGCCAGUCUAAACCAGCAUCCCUGCUCCAGCCCUGCCCUGCCUCGGAUAAUUCAGAGGAAGGCAAAACACUCCCCCUAGUGGGCAAUACUGGAAUAACCUGCCCAUAUGAGGAAUUUUCCUCACCCCACGCACAGAGAGAAGUUGGUUUAUACCCUGGUGCCAAAGAGUUAAUGUCCCUUCCACAUUCUAUCUCUCCUCCCCAGCAGAACCGUCAAUGUCCUUGUGAUUCAGACAGGUCGAGGGUGUGUUGGGUUUUAAUCCUGCAAAAGCGUGACAGAGCGAUAAUAUCCAGUGGCAAUGAGUUCCACAGGAUAACUUUCCAUCAUGUAAAUAAAGUCUCCACCUCUGCA
Chrysemys picta bellii (western painted turtle) is the source of this 1707-nucleotide non-coding RNA. The record is from RefSeq and is a predicted model, not a curated record. NCBI's taxonomy places the organism in Eukaryota, Metazoa, Chordata, Testudines, Emydidae.